Molecule: ribosomal RNA, 274 nt
Filed under: uncultured bacterium
Lineage: Bacteria
Description: partial 16S ribosomal RNA
Rfam family: Bacterial small subunit ribosomal RNA
Source: RNAcentral
AUACGGAGGGUGCGAGCGUUAAUCGGAAUUACUGGGCGUAAAGCGCGCGUAGGCGGAUAAUUAAGUCAGAUGUGAAAUCCCCGGGCUCAACCUGGGAACUGCAUUUGAUACUGAUUAACUAGAGUAUGGUAGAGGUGAGUGGAAUUUCCGGUGUAGCGGUGAAAUGCGUAGAGAUCGGAAGGAACACCAGUGGCGAAGGCGACUCACUGGGCCAUUACUGACGCUGAGGCGCGAAAGCGUGGGGAGCAAACGGGAUUAGAAACCCGAGUAGUCC